UGCUGUUUCUCACUCUGUUUCUCUCAUGAAGAUGUUCCAACACACACAGACAUACAAGGCUAUAUACAUGGCACAUCUAUAUAGCCUUCACACUUUAAUUAACAAACAUGUACACCAGACAAAAAAAUGGUAAGAUAUUUGCUUGUUUUAUUGACUUCAAGAAAGCAUUCGACUUUGUUUGGCAUGAAGGACUUUAUUACAGACUUUUACAUUGUGGUAUGGGGGCAAAAAUGUAUGAUCUGGUUAAAUCAAUGUAUUUGGAAAAUAAAUGUGCUGUAAAAAUUGGAGACAAACAAACUGAAUUCUUCAACAAGAGAAGAGGUGUUCGUCAGGGCUGCAACUUAAGCCUGACUUUGUUUAAUGUGUAUAUAAAUGAACUUGCUGUACAAUUGGUGUGGAUGUCAGCCACCUUAUCCUCCCCUGCCCUGUGUUCUCUGUUGUAUUCUCCUUUACUGGUGUGUCUUGUAUCUGGCGUUGGUGUUGUGGGAGAGCCUGGUAUUUAAAUUGUGGAGACUGAUGGAUGAUUGGAGACAGGUGUGCCGGUGAUCAGCAGCAGGCGGGAAACCACGGAGCCAGGCCAGGAGACACACACACAUAUACACACACACACGGGUGAGCUCGGUGAAACUCCCUCACCAUCCGAUCAAGGAUGCGGGAGUGGGAAACCCAGGACCGCUCCUCCGGACCAAAUCCUUCCCAAUCCACGAGGUAUUGGAACCCCCUCCCAUGGCGGCGCACGUUCAUGAGACGCCUGGAAGAGACUGGCUUGAGUUGGGAUACAUGAAAGAAACAAAGCGGCAGUUCCAAACCUGGUUCUGGUGUCGUUGAGCCGGGGAGGAGGGGCCAACUUUGAAGACACCGCAGGGCCUCUGGAUGGAAAUUCUCACUUUACAUUCUCAUAAUUUCUCACUCAACCACAGGAGACUGUCAUUGAGGUCAACAUGAGUAAAAAGGUGAGAGGACAUCUGAUGAAACUCCACUCAAACAAGGCUGCAGGCCCCGAUGAAGUUUGCCAGGGGUGCUAAAGGCCUGUGCCCCCCAGCUAUGUGGAGUCCUUCAACAUGUCUUCAACUUGAACCUGAGUCUUCAAAGGGUCCCUGUUCUGUGGAAGACAUCUUGCCUCGUUCCCGUGCCGAAGACGUCGCAUCCC
Siniperca chuatsi (mandarin fish) is the source of this 1150-nucleotide long non-coding RNA. RefSeq lists it as uncharacterized. The record is from RefSeq and is a predicted model, not a curated record. NCBI's taxonomy places the organism in Eukaryota, Metazoa, Chordata, Actinopteri, Centrarchiformes, Sinipercidae. The transcript has 4 exons.